CCCAUUGGAUCCCAUUGGAUCCCGUACCUGCCUGUGCACCACCUUGGCGUGGCGCAGGAUGGCGAUGACGUCGCCCACCACGGUGAUGCCCAACUCCUUCAUCAGCUCCCUGGUCAGGUCCAGCAGCAUGUUCUUGUGGAUCCUGCGGGGGGGAAGGGUGGGAUCCACUGGGAUCCACUCGGGGAUCCACCGAAAUCCACCCUGAUUCGUUCCGUUCUAUCUUAAACUGACUGAGAUCCACCAGGAUUCGAGGGAAAUUCACCCAAAUUUCCCUGGGAUCCACUCAGGGAUCCACCCCAGAUCCCCUCAGUUCUGCCUGGAUCCACUGAAAUUCACCCCAAUUUCCCCGGGAUCCACCCCCCAUUCCCAGGGGUCUCUGCUCCCCCAUUUUCAGGGGUCUGUCCUGGGGGUCUCUUCCCAUUUUUGGGGCUCUUCCCCCAUUCCUGGGGGUCUUUAGGGGGUCUCUCCCCCAUUUUUGGGGGUGUCUCCCCCAAUCCCAGGGGUCUCUUGUCCCCAUUUUUGAGGGUCUGUCCCCCAGUUUUUGGGGGGGGUCUCUCUCCUCAUUUUUGGGGGGUCUCUUUCCCUCAUUUUUGGGGGUUUCUCCCCCAUUUUUAGGGAUCUCUUCGCCCCCAUUUUCAGGGAUCUCUCUCCCCAUUCCCAGGGGUCCCUCUCCCCCAUUUUUGGGGGUCUCUUUUCUAUUCUCGGGGUUCUCUGCCCCCCAGUUUUUGGGGGUCUCUCUCAUUUUCAGGGGUCUGUCCUGGGGAUCUCUCCCCCAUUCCCAGGAGUCUCCCUCCCCAUUUUCGGGGCUCUCCCCAUUUCAGGGGUCAUUCCCCUAUUUUUGGGGGUCUCUCUCCAUUUUUGGGGGUCUGUUCCCCAGUUUUUGGGGGUCUCUCUCCCCAUUUUGGAGGGUCUCUCCCCCAUUCCCGAGGGUCUCUGCCCCUACAUUUUUGGGGGUCUGUCCCCACUUUUGGGGGUGUCUCCCCAUUUUGGGGUUCGCUCUCCCCAUUUUUGGGGUUCUCUUCCCCCAUUUUGGAGGUCUUUCCCCCCCAUUUUUAGGGAUCUCUCUCUCUCUCUCCAUUUUCAGGAAUUUCUC
This 1093-nucleotide long non-coding RNA is filed under the name Junco hyemalis (dark-eyed junco). RNAcentral's name for it is "lncRNA (ENSJHYG00000001482.1)". Lineage: Eukaryota; Metazoa; Chordata; Aves; Passeriformes; Passerellidae. The record is from RNAcentral.